Molecule: ribosomal RNA, 495 nt
Filed under: uncultured bacterium
Lineage: Bacteria
Description: partial 16S ribosomal RNA
Rfam family: Bacterial small subunit ribosomal RNA
Source: RNAcentral
GACGAACGCUGGCGGCGUGCCUAAUACAUGCCAGUAGAACGCUGAAGGAGGAGCUUGCUUCUCUGGAUGAGUUGCGAACGGGUGAGUAACGCGUAGGUAACCUGCCUGGUAGCGGGGGAUAACUAUUGGAAACGAUAGCUAAUACCGCAUAAGAGUAGAUGUCGCAUGACAUUUGCUUAAAAGGUGCAAUUGCAUCACUACCAGAUGGACCUGCGUUGUAUUAGCUAGUUGGUGAGGUAACGGCUCACCAAGGCAACGAUACAUAGCCGACCUGAGAGGGUGAUCGGCCACACUGGGACUGGGACACGGCCCAGACUCCUACGGGAGGCAGCAGUAGGGAAUCUUCGGCAAUGGACGGAAGUCUGACCGAGCAACGCCGCGUGAGUGAAGAAGGUUUUCGGAUCGUAAAGCUCUGUUGUAAGAGAAGAACGAGUGUGAGAGUGGAAAGUUCACACUGUGACGGUAUCUUACCAGAAAGGGACGGCUAACUACGUG